GCAAACAACCACCCUGAACAAACCCGAUCCCAUCUGAUCUCGUAAGCUAAGCAGGGUCAGGCCUGGUUGGUACUUGGAUAGGAGACCACCUAGGAAGACCAGGUGCUGUAGGCU
RNAcentral lists this ribosomal RNA (114 nucleotides) under Pteropus alecto (black flying fox). Lineage: Eukaryota; Metazoa; Chordata; Mammalia; Chiroptera; Pteropodidae. The record is from RNAcentral.